GCGCGCAUCGUAUAGUGGCUAUUAUACGGCCUUGCCAAGGCUGAGACGAGAGUUCGAUUCUCUCUGCGCGCUCCA
This 75-nucleotide transfer RNA is filed under the name bacterium. Its description in RNAcentral is "tRNA-Gly". It matches the Rfam family "tRNA". From Rfam's summary of the family: Transfer RNA (tRNA) molecules are approximately 80 nucleotides in length. Their secondary structure includes four short double-helical elements and three loops (D, anti-codon, and T loops). RNAcentral also lists the same sequence under 1 other name. The record is from RNAcentral.